RNAcentral lists this ribosomal RNA (772 nucleotides) under Pseudomonas sp. CUL-LAN5K5. RNAcentral's name for it is "bacterial SSU rRNA". It matches the Rfam family "Bacterial small subunit ribosomal RNA", at positions 1 to 775 of the family's 1533-position model. The record is from RNAcentral. Lineage: Bacteria; Pseudomonadati; Pseudomonadota; Gammaproteobacteria; Pseudomonadales; Pseudomonadaceae.
UUAGAGUUUGAUCCUGGCUCAGAUUGAACGCUGGCGGCAGGCCUAACACAUGCAAGUCGAGCGGUAGAGAGAAGCUUGCUUCUCUUGAGAGCGGCGGACGGGUGAGUAAUGCCUAGGAAUCUGCCUGGUAGUGGGGGAUAACGUUCGGAAACGGACGCUAAUACCGCAUACGUCCUACGGGAGAAAGCAGGGGACCUUCGGGCCUUGCGCUAUCAGAUGAGCCUAGGUCGGAUUAGCUAGUUGGUGAGGUAAUGGCUCACCAAGGCGACGAUCCGUAACUGGUCUGAGAGGAUGAUCAGUCACACUGGAACUGAGACACGGUCCAGACUCCUACGGGAGGCAGCAGUGGGGAAUAUUGGACAAUGGGCGAAAGCCUGAUCCAGCCAUGCCGCGUGUGUGAAGAAGGUCUUCGGAUUGUAAAGCACGUUAAGUUGGGAGGAAGGGCAGUUACCUAAUACGUGAUUGUUUUGACGUUACCGACAGAAUAAGCACCGGCUAACUCUGUGCCAGCAGCCGCGGUAAUACAGAGGGUGCAAGCGUUAAUCGGAAUUACUGGGCGUAAAGCGCGCGUAGGUGGUUAGUUAAGUUGGAUGUGAAAUCCCCGGGCUCAACCUGGGAACUGCAUUCAAAACUGACUGACUAGAGUAUGGUAGAGGGUGGUGGAAUUUCCUGUGUAGCGGUGAAAUGCGUAGAUAUAGGAAGGAACACCAGUGGCGAAGGCGACCACCUGGACUGAUACUGACACUGAGGUGCGAAAGCGUGGGAGCAACAG